UUGAUCGGCUGUCUUCAGGCUGUGGUGUGUUGUCAUGUGCUGCCCCUCCAAGUUGUCUCUUUAAACAGAAGCCACAUCUGCACCUCAGCUGGUUACGGGCACCGCGGGGCCGUGGCAGCAGGGUGGGUCGUGUGGCUGCGUGAGGACACGAAGCCAGCAGAGCACGGGGAGCUGCCACGGCUGGGCUGCAGCCUGUGCGGGACCUGCUGAGUGCAUGGCUGGUGCUCAGCAGAAGCAGCCAGUGGAAAGUCAGCAGUGAGCCAGGGCAGCUCGGGGUGAGCGAGUCCUCUCGCUGAGCAGGUGUCCAGAGCCUCCUCAGGAUCCGUGGGACCCCACCAGCAGGAGCCUCAGCCCCGUUGUUGCCAGUCGCCUCACUGUGUGUCUGUGAGCGAUGGGGAUGUGGACGGAGAUGUCUCUGCGCUGCGCCUCGGGGUAGGGGGGAGGGUAAAAAAAUUCCUUUUGAUUCUUUUUUUUUUUUCUGUUGUUUUCACACCAUUAGGAAAUAAUUAACCUCCUUAGUGAAAGCAUGUCUCCUUUGCACCUGAGUAGGAAAACCUUAAAAUAUACAUACAAUAUUUUUAACACUAAGCUUAAAUUAUGCAGUUGCUGCAUUUUGAUGAUAAAUAUGCAGAUGAGAAGAUUUCUGCCUCUUUUAUCUUGUGGUUCUAACUCUGUCUAAAAACAGAUUGUUGCAGUCACCCUAAUUCUGAGAAAAACAGCCUUUUGUGCAUGGAAAAGCCAAAACAAGCAAGUCUGAUGAUCAGAUCUCUUCCUGGCUGGCGUAUGUCUGCCAUGCUAGUGAAGGAAUCACUUGUCUUUCGUGGUGAUGGCAGUUGGUGCCAUCAAUUCCUGUCAGCUGGGAAGAGGGAUGGGAAGCCAAAUUCAUACACUGGUGAUUAAUUCUGGAAGCUCACGGGAAGACAGACUUUGUGAAUACCUCUGGAAAGCUCUGAGGCUGCAGCAGAGCGGGCAGGGUAGGUGGAUUCAGUCCAGACCUGCUUGGAUAAUUCUGGUCUUUCUGCAUCCCAGGGACAGCCUGGAGCAGGGAUGGGCUCAGACCAGCCCUUGACUGCAGAUGUUCAGGCCAGGCCGACGUAAAAUGGGUGGGCUGUGGGUGCUGAGAAGGCUGCAGAGCUCGAUGGGCAGCAGGUGCUCGUCCCGUGUCCGUGCUUACCGCCCGCUUUCAGCUUUUUCCACUGGAGGCCACGAGCUCUUCGGGCACUUUGAGGAGAGGCACAGUGUGAGAAACUGCCUGGUGUGCUCCCACCACCUCUUCUCCCCUGGUGUGUCUUAUUCUCAUAUAUCCAUGCCUACGAUCAUCUGUCUCCAAAGCACAGUUCUCUCUUGCCCUGGCUGCUGCAAGCGGGCUGCCCAUUGACCCCUGUGCCCUUUACAGUGUCUGCUGAAUGCGCGAGGUCAGGAGACAAAGCUCCUGGGGGAGUCAGGCCAGCCUCUCAGCUACACAGACAGCAAAUCCUUGUGCCUGCCUAGCAAUCCGAAGCGUGUAUCCGCCAAACAGCUCUUGAGCUUUGGUUUAAAAAAAAGAAAAAAAAAAAAGCCUAUUGCAGAGUUCACCACUUCAGGCAGCGGCUGCGUGCAAGCUGAAUGCGGCAGUGCCCACUGCUGCCCAAAGGGCAGGUACCUGGGGUCCUCAUGCUCACCUGAUUUCUGAAGUAGCCAUCAUAAGAAGAUGGGUUUCUCUUAAGCUUUGUCUCUUUUUUUUCUAACUUUUAUGAGUCUUUGCAAGGUUACUGCCUCCCAAAUACAUAUUCCAAAGCUCAAAUUCUGGAUUGUUGCUGA
This is a long non-coding RNA of Anas platyrhynchos (mallard), 1800 nucleotides long. RefSeq lists it as uncharacterized. The record is from RefSeq and is a predicted model, not a curated record. NCBI's taxonomy places the organism in Eukaryota, Metazoa, Chordata, Aves, Anseriformes, Anatidae.